Molecule: transfer RNA, 148 nt
Filed under: Klebsiella michiganensis
Lineage: Bacteria; Pseudomonadati; Pseudomonadota; Gammaproteobacteria; Enterobacterales; Enterobacteriaceae
Description: tRNA-OTHER
Source: RNAcentral
GGCGGUGGAAAUGGCGAAUAAUGGGUAAUCAUUGGCAAACAAUGACAAUCUAUGUCAAUGAUAAAUAACACAAACUAUUGAUUUUCUGUUGUUCUUAUAGGAACUCAUAAUCGCUUGGUCGCUGGUUCAAGUCCAGCAGGGGCCACCA